This 20829-nucleotide long non-coding RNA is filed under the name Vigna radiata. RNAcentral describes it as "long non-coding RNA (VRAD_LNC003116)". Lineage: Eukaryota; Viridiplantae; Streptophyta; Magnoliopsida; Fabales; Fabaceae. The record is from RNAcentral.
AUUCUCGGCUGAAGAGUUUGAGACGGCUUUGCUCACUCCCAAUGACACAUUGAGUGAUAUACAUAUGCCUUUGCUAAAGGUUGGUGCUUUUUUAUUUAUUUUUUUCUUCCUUUGGUUUGUUAUUGUGUGCGUACUGCAUUUCUUCUUUCUUCUGUGAAUAUGGGUGAUGACUGAAGUUCUAGACUAUGUCGGUUGUGUUAGUUUUGUGCUUGUUGUUAUUGUUAGGAGUUUGUAGGAUGUUCUUUUGGUGUGCUUUUUUUUUUCUUAAUUUGAGUAAUAUUGCCGUGGUUUUGAUUAUGAUUGUAUGCCUUAAUUAUGAAGUUGUAUUUUCGUGAUAAUGUCGAGUGCCCAUUACCUGGGAACGAGGGAAAUUAAUAGCUGUAAAGUGGAGUUCUUAUUAGUGUAGGGUAUCUGGAGGUUGCUGUGGCUGAAACAGAGACGAGUGUUUUGGGAUUAUAAUUCAAAUGGCCAAGGUCAGAACUUGUUUCAAAAUUUUCCAAGAGUUUGAAUUGAAUCCAAAUGAUGAACUUCAGUAUUAGCCACUACUUAACUGUUGGAAUGACUCUUUAUUCAAUGCGGUGGUUGAAACUCUUUUGAAUGUGGGAAUGGUGGAAGGAACCAAAAACUGAACACUAACGAAUAUAGAUGGAAUUGUGGAAGGAGCCAAAAAUUGAUGGAUUCAUGGUCAUAAUAUGGUUGACCUAUAUGAUGCUGGGAGAUGGACAUGAUUAUUUGCAACUGAGUUGAGUUUGGCAGGAAUUGGUUGGUGCAAACAAGUAAUUGAUUCGAGGCCUUUGUUGCAUGUUGGGAAACCCUUUCUUGAGUGUUAAACUGGGGACUUUUGCUGAUUGUUUGUGCUCUCUGCCCUGAUAUUGGCCCAAUUUGCUUUUGAAGGAUAGUGUUCAAGUGUGCUGCUAUUAAGUUUAGUUUACUUAUUUCUGUUGUUUCUAAGUAUAAGCUUCUAUUCUGCAUCAAAUGGUUACAACUUCCAAAUGUACCUUUGGAUUUUUUUUCCACUGGGUUUCAUCCUUGUUGGUCUUAUCCCUGAUUUUCUGAGUUCAAAUCAAUGUGUCAAAGAUAAUCAUGAUCAUUCUAGCAAGAGGCGGAUGUAUACUUUACUGGAGAGUUUAUAUAGGCGGGCAUCACUACAGAAAUUACUAUAGAAAAGGCCUACUCUGAAGAAUUUUCAGAACUUCUGAGACGAGUUUUUGUUAUACCUAAUUCUUUUGCAAAGUGUUUAUACUUGAACUAUAGCUUCCCUGCAGAUUUAAAUAAUGUGGGAAAAUUAUUCAGUUAAUUGUUUGAGGGUUUAGAUCUUUUAGAUCUGUAUUGAAACUGCCAUUCUGCGAUGAGAAAGUGUUGUUAUAGACAUGGUGCAUGCUAUACUCAUUCAUGAUGUAAUGAGUUUGUGGAUGGAGAUGAAUUGAUUAAAACAGUGUACUUGGACUGUUUUGAAACUUAGAUUUUGGUUUGAGUAAAUAACGACAUAAAUCUGCACAAGUCUGACUUGUAUGUUAGGUACUUAGGUUUUGAGUGAUAAAGAGAUAGUGCGGACUGGGGAGAAUGAAAGCUUAGACUGUUUAAUGUUAUUGGUCACACACUUCCAUAUCUUGCAGAGGUAGUUGAAGUUUUGUACUUUAAGCUGCUGUAGUGCAACGAAUUCUGUCACAAGUUCAAUGCCAUUAUCUCCUUACUUCCAUUUAUCCUUCAUCUAUUGAAUCUAUUGAAUUUUGUCUUUAGUUCCAUUUGUCCUUAAUCUAUUGAAGUGGUUAAUCAAAACAGUGGUGAUACUUGAACUCAUUUAAGUUUUUAAAAUUGGAUUAGAUAUUAUAAUAGCAUUAGUCUUGCUUAUCUCUUUUGUUGGUGGAUAGAUAGAUAUUGUUAACGAGUGAUAAAGUCAAGGGUUUUAAUUCUAGUUGUCUUGCAGUUUGAGAGCUUGUGAGAGUUGUUUGCCAUUGUCUUUUAUAGGGCAUUGAUCCCUCUCAAAAUCUAUUCCUCUGCAAGAUCAAUACUUUCUUCUUUGUACAAUGUCACAAGCUGUCAAAAUUGCUGCUAGUCUGAUAACAUUAAUUGCACCUUUUUUAUAGGCAAUUCCUCCAAUUACACGAAUGGCACUCUCACGUGAUACUUGGAUAACCGUAUUAUGCAGAAAAUUAAGAGAUUGGUGGCACUGGGUAAUAAGAAUAUUUUUUCAGCAAGCUGAAAAUUCUACAUAACAUUUUGUAGUUUCCAGAGCUAAUAUGAAUAGGGAAUUCAAAUGCAGGUUGCGGAUGGGGAUCUUCCUAUUGUUGCUUCACAUGGGUAAGUAAACAGUUAAUCUUGCAACAUCAAAAAUCCACUUUAUGUGUUUACUGAGUCUCAUGUUAUGUUGACGUGACAGAGCGGAGAUUGAAGUAUAUAAAUCACUUGAUCCAGGGGUUCGUGUGGUCAUCUUAAAAGCAUUAUGUGACAUUCGUGUUGAGGUACCCUUGCCCAGUUAAUGUCUAUGUAUAUAUCUAUAUUUCUUAUAUACUUUUCCUUGAAUGGGUGAAAGUUAGUAUGGAAGAACGAGGCCACUUUCCUUUCUUUUAGGUUGGAUCUCUGAAAACUAUGCGAUUCAUGUUUAGAACUGAAUUAACUUCUACUAUGAUAUAUGCAAGUGAUUUAUCUGUCAUUCACUAUUUUUGUUUGCCUCGUUUUGUGUUCAAGUUGCAACCACCCAUUUUAGGUUUAUUUUAUUCUAUCUGUUAUAUUGAGUGGUUCUCUGGGCUUGUCUAUUAACAAGGGUGUGAUAAUUUGCCUCAAUAGUUUCUUUUAAUAACAUUCACAAAGAUUCCUGGAGAUGCAUGACCAUGCACUAUUUUAGUUAGCCAAUGGCUAAUGUGUCUAACUAGGUCACCCUAUUAUGCAAUAACUUUCUUUGGGGUUCUUUUAUUUUGCCGGGGGAAGGGGGGGAGGUAGUGGUUGGAGCAGUGUAAAAGGUAUUUAAAUUCCCAAGAUCAAAACUUGCCAAGUGCACAGAUUCAGGGGCAAAUCAUUUAUAGCCUGACUCAUAAAUCUUACUUUUGAUCAUCCCUCUUGAUAGUGUACAUGAUUAAACUUGACUUGUAUUUUGCAGCAAGAAGAUAUCAGGAGUUACAUUGACAGCUCAAUCAAGCAUGGCAUUCCACUUUCAACAUUUCGCAAGGACCGUAUUGGUGGCGAUUCACAUGGAGUUUCUUAUUGGUAAUAUUCAUGUGCUUUGACUUCAAUCUGUUCGAAGUUUGAAGUGUCAUACUGGAAAGUUAAUGCACAUUUAUCUCUUUUUUUCUUUUUAUUCACAUGGCAUUUAUUAUUGCAGGUAUGAAGAUGACCAAAAUAUUGGUCAGAGGUUGUACCGGGAGAUAAGGAAAACUGAGGUGGUUCAAACGAAGAAAGGGAAACCAAGAGGUUCCCAGGUUUUUUCUAAUACAACCUACCAGUGGGAAACAGUUGCUACCAAUUUUGAUGAAUUUCUGGAUGUUUCUGUAAGUUAUUCAAACUCAUCUAUCUAUGCUUAGUGGGCAUGUUUUAACGAGUGUGCAGUGUUUUUCUGGGAGUUGGGACUUUUGACUUAUAGAUUUUGAACUAGAUAAUGGAUCACUUAAUAUAUUAAUCAGUAAAUUAAUGUGAUGUAUAUUUGGAGUCACAAGAGACUAAUUUUAUUUUGAUUUAGAAACCCUAACUAAAGUUCCAAGUGAACCUAUCAAAUAGGAAACUGUUAUUUUGUAGAAAAUUCAUAGUUAGUUAUAGUCCUUGAAUGAAACCAUUAGAUUUCACCAAUUGUUAAUAAAACCUAAUAACUGUAGGGGAAAAAAUCUACAGCGAAAGGGGCAGUAGGAAAUCAGAGUGGACAUGGUAUCCAGAAAAAAAUUGGCACCAUUGAACAGUGAGUCCACUGGGAUGACUUGGAUUCAAAUUAGGCUCUAAAUACCAUGUAGAGAGAAAUGGUAUAUAUUUAUCUUGUGAUAGGAUUGUGUGUAGUGGAACAUAUAUACAUGUCAUACAUAGCAUUACGUAGGGAUGGGCCAAGCCCAUAUACACUAUAUCUACCAAUAACAAAAUCAGAACAUUGGUUGUUACAAUUCUACUAUACAUUACAACAUUAUUAUACUUUUCAAAUUUCAUUCCUUGCCAUUUCAUAUGACUGCUACUAAAAAGAACAAUCUUUUCCGAAAUAUCAAUAAGUGCUAGAAAGCAAUCUCAGCCACUAUAUGCAUGAAGAAAAUACAAUGCAACAAAGAACUUAAAGUGGUCAGAGGGUGCCUUAAGCCACCAUAAUUAUUAAGUCCCUUCUAUUUAUAAUAAAAAUUAGUUAACGUUGUUGGCCAGAAUGAGGUCUUCAUCAGUGUUGGAACCAGGCAGAUCAAAUUAGCUGUAGUAAUCAGUUGUUUUCUCAAUUGUCUUGUUCAAAAUCCAUUGAUCUACCCUUUGACUAAUAUCAUUUUACAGUUAAAUUAUAAACUUUUGGAAUUCUGAUAUAACAACUAAGCCUUUUGCCACUAAUUGGGAUUGGCUGCCCUACUUGAAUCCUUUGGUUUACAUCUCCCUCGAUUGCUAUGCCUUUUUUCUUUGACAGACCUAAGAAUGCAGAUAUAUUUUUGUUAUAGAAGAUAGGAUUGACCGUUAGUUUUUUUUUUUCAAAGGGAAAUAUUAUAAAAUAACCUAAUUCUGCCAAUUUUCAUGAAGUUUGCAACUUUUUUUUUUUGUUUAGCUUCAUCUUAUUUGCUUUUACUCAUCUGAUUGCCCAGGAGAAGCUUUUCACAAGUAAAAACAGAACGGAGGUUUCUGUGGGGAAGAAGGUGAAGAUAGACAUGCUUCCUGAAAUUGAGAAGGUUCACAAGGUACUAUAUCUGUGUUUGCUUACUCUACCCUAUCCUCCUCUCAGUGGGUUUAGAAAAUUGAAAAAUUGGGCACUUUGACUUGAAUUCAUGUUUGCUCUUAGAUUUAUCUUCAUAUAUGGUCCUUGAAGAACCCUAUUGUGCUUUUAACUGACAAAAUUAGUCUGGCAUGGGUUGAGAAGAUGUAGCAUUCUAGGAUUUGAACUUCAAUUCAUGUUUGCUCUUCUUUUUAUCUUGAUAAAUGGUUCAUAAAGAAUCCUGUUGUACUUUUAACUGACAAAUUGGCCUGUCUUGUGCAGAGAAAGGAGAGAUUGAUGAAAAAACAACACAGACAAGCUCUUCUUCUUGAUAAUUUCUUAGGUGUUGAUGGGCUUGCUCUAGGGCGUUCACUACGUGAUAGGAAACCUGUUACCUACACUUUUGGUAAGAAGUUUCAUCAUUGUUUGCAUUUUGUUUUCACAGCUGGAGUUGGCCUAGUCAUUUUCCUCAUUUUUUUCUUUAUAUGGACUGCUGAGGUUUAUUAGACAGCUCAAUAAUUUUACAGUUGGAUUGUUGUAUGUUAGGACCCUAGGUACCUUCUGGGGCAAGUAGCCUGAAUCCGGGUUUUAAAUAGUGUGCUUUAGCACUGCUACAGUAGCAACAAGUGGGACUGCUGUAGUGGCCAUAGCAGACAAAAUAGAAGGCUGAAUCUAUGUGAUGGUUCCAAAAAAUCCUUCUGAGUAGAGACGUUUGCUAUUUAAAACAUUGUUGGCCUUGAAUAUUGUGAAGGAUAUCUAUUCUAUUCUUAGGGAAUGUAUGGUUAGUAGAAUUAAAAACCUUUCCCUGCUUGGACCAAGGGGGCUGCUGGUUAGUACAGGGAUAAUUUAUUGGGACUUUCUGAUAUCUGACAUUGGUUUUGGGAUUUCCGUUGGAUCUGAUAAAAGUUCCAUUGGAUUUUUUCAUAACUACUUGGUAAGCCUUAAUAAUUUUCAUACAUCCACAUCUUUUAAUUAAAAAAGUAACAUUAUCACUAAGUUUUGUUGCAAUUUUACCCUGCAUUGAUGAUAGCGGAAUCUGGACACUGAUAGUUUCACAGUUUCAUUGUGCAUCCAGGAUGUAACUUUACCUCAGCUUCCUGUUUAGCUUUAAUUAUGACAAAAAUUCUCCUGAACUAGAUAAUUUUUGAUUUGGUUGGACAAAAGUAAACUCAUUUCUUGAGUGUCAGUAUUUGAGGCUUUAAAUUGACCUAACUUGACAUUGCUGUCAUUGCAGAUGAUUAUGAUCGGUCCAUCAACGAGGCAAUUAAGAUAACCAAGUACGGAUUUUGCAUUUUGAUCUUACAUUCUUGUACCACUAUUUGGUUGUUCUAGAUAUGUAUGUAAUUUUUUGUUGUUGCAUAUAUUGAGAGAACAGGAGCCAGUCAUAUGCAUUUGUCAUGCUUUGUACUCAUGACAUUUUUUCUGUUUCUUAUAUCAGACGGAAGCCACCGUCCCCAGAAGCUAUACCGAGAAGAGAACCAGGAUCAAAACCCGAAGCUUUAUCCAAUGGUAAAUGGAGUGGUCCUUCCCCUUCACAUGACCCUCAAGAACUAAAUUUUGGCAUGCUGUCUCCAAAAUCACCAGACUUCGAUGAUAUGGAGGAAGAUAAUCAAACUGACAUACUGGACUUGGAUAGAAGGUUUGUGGUUCUGAUUUUAUCCCUUCAAAUAUGUUCUGAUGACUUCUAUAUCUUACUUCACUGAUAACUUUUAUUUCACAUCAGCAAUCGACGAAGACAGAGGCCUAAACGGUAUUCAGAGAAAGAGUUUGUUGAAGCAUUGUCAGAUAAUGAGGCUGACUAUGACAGUGAUGAUGAUAUUGUGGGAGAAGCAGUGUAUUCUGAAGAGUAUCUUCAGAAACGCAAGCAGAGAAGGAAGGCUUCUAGUAGCUCUGGUUCUGAAGGAGAUGAAGAAUAUAAUUGGAAUGAAGAUAAUAUUGAAGAUGAAGAAGAAGACGAUGAAGAAGAUUCCAUGAGUGUCAGUGAGGAGAGUGACAAGCCCCGUAAAUUCAAGCGACUGGCAGGCCGAACUAGAAGGGAAACUAAACUCAGGUCUGUGGGUGAGAUUCAAUCAGGUCUAAGACGCAGUAAGAGGGCAACACAAAAACGUAUAAAUUACCGGCAAUUAGAGAUGUCUGAUUCAGAAACCGAGUUCGUUAAACCUGACAAGUCUAAUGCAAAUGCAUCAGAUGAUCACUCAGAUCCUUCUGAGAAUGGAGAUUAUUUGAUGGAAACUGAAGACUCAGAUGGCAAUGACGAUGAAGAACAAGAAAUCAAAGAUGUGGAGCCUGUUACUUACCCUGCAGAAGGGAACAACGAAUAUCCUGCUGUAGAGGAGAAUGAACAAAGCAAAAUCCAGCCUCCUGAAAAAUCUAGUAGUCCAGGCCAGGAGGAAGUUGAAGGCACCACAAAGCGACGCUUCCUUGAUUUGAAUGAGCUUGCCCCUAGCUCAGGUUUUGAUGAUGCUCCAAAUACAACAACCAAAGAUGAAGGCAAUGAUGAUUUGUGAAGGUACCUCUUUUUUCUUGAAAGCAAUGAUGGUAGUUUGCUAUCAAGGAAACCAAGUGACAUGUAUGAUAAUAGAACUAUAAAUUUUGUUAUGUGCCUCAAAGGGAAGUUAAGGGUAGAUCUCUUCCUGUGGCAACCUAAGCAGCCCUUGGUGCAUGAUUUUCCACCAGAAGCAGCAGCAUGAUACUGAGUUGUGUAGAUUAGGUAGUCAUUUUUUAGUAUUUAGUAUUUCUACUUCAAAGGGUCUACGGAAGUGAAUGAGAAUUUGUUGGGCGUUAUUUGGCCCAUCCAAUCCAAUCGGUGUACAAUAACUGUUAACAAGUACUGUAACUUUAAAUAGAUAUAUGGCUUUUGAUUAUCAAGCCCUGUAGUUCUAUUUUUUUCUUUUACUCAUGGACUCUUAGUCAUCAGCUUUUCAGCAGAUAAAAAUGGUCCCACUUUUUAUUUCUCUACGUAAUUACUAACCCUUUUGUUCUUAAUUUGUCUGUUCUGGCAUCCAAAAUAGAAGUUUUGAUUGCUAGUUUGCCUCAUAAUCUACGAUUUUAAAAGCUGGCAACUAAUUCAAACCAUUAAGAUUAAUAGCGUGGAAAGAAGAUUUUAGGACAAAAUUAAGUUCAUACUUUUUUUCUAUUUGAAAUUUCAACUCUUUCCGUUUGAAGUUAUAUGAAAUACAGUUGUACAGUGUAUUCUUUGUAAACGAAAACAGGGGAGUUCUGUUCUGACUUGAUUUUAGUCUUAAGUUUCUGUUCUUCUAUCUUUCUGUUCCUGUACCACUUCCCAUGCCUUUCCAUUAGGAUGGAAUAAAGAAUCAAAAUUUUAAUAUUUUUAAUUUUUUGAAAAAUAUGACCCAAAAUGAAUUUUUUUUUAAAAUUCAAAUUUAUACGUUAUAUUUUUAAAGAUGUAUUGCAAAAUUGAUUUUUAGAUUACUUUAUAUAUAACACUUUAAAAAAAUUAUAUUAGAGCAUAAGCAUUCCAAAAUAUUUUAAAUUUAUUAAGGGAAAGCUCAAUAAACGCAUAAUAAACACUUGGACAUUUUCCCUUACAAAUCCAAAGUAUUCGUCAACCUCCCAUUUUCAACUCUAAUGUUUUAUUGAAAGGAGGGGCGUAAGUUGAACGAGAUCAAAAAACGUAAAAUUUAUCUUACAAGCUUCUGAAAUCCUUAAGAAUAAAUUCUGAUUAGAAUGUUGAAGACUAAAGGAAAGUCUAUUUAUAAAAAAAUUAAACCUUAGGGUUAUUCUCAUAUUUAUUUAAAAAUUUUAAUUUGGUCUUUCAUUUAAAGGUUUAAUAUCUAUUUUGUUCCCUCUUUUUGGGGGGUUUGAUCAAAGUGGUCCUCCCUUUUUUAAAAAGUUCAAUAAGGUCCUACUUUUUGAAAAAACUGUGCAAGUUAGUUCUUUUUGCUAACGGCGUUAAUUCUGCUAACGGCAGAGCUGCCAGCUGGCAAAUAUUUGAUGACUUGUACAAAUAAAAUUCGUUUUAGUCCUCAUAUUGGUUUAAAAAUGUUCAUUGUGAUCCUUGUAUUGGUUUAAAAAUGUUUAUUGUGGUCCCGUUUUACUAAAAAGGAAAAUCAUCCUUAGAGACAGUAAGCAGCUUCACAAAUUUGUCAAUGGAUGCUCUUGUGGAAAGUUUUGUGGUUUUCUAAGAAAACAACAACUAAAAUUUCAUGUGUUACAAUCCAAAACUGAUGCGUUCUUUUUUCACAUCUCCAUACUUACUAAUGUAACACGUGAAACUACACUAUUAAGCUUCAAAUUAUUGUGAUUAUACUUUCCCAAAAGGUUAGCGCAUGAAUUACUACAUCACGUGUGAAAUCUUUAACAUGUAUUAAAACGGGACCACAAUAAACAUUUUUAAACCAAUACAAGGACCACAAUGAACAUUUUUAAACCAAUAUGAGGACUAAAACGAAUUUUAUUUGUACAAGUCAUCAAAUAUUUGCCAGCUGGCAGCUCUGCCGUUAGCAGAAUUAACGCCGUUAGCAAAAAGGACUCACUUGCACAGUUUUUGCAAAAAGUAGGAGCUUAUUGAACUUUUUAAAAAAGGGAGGACCAAUUUGAACAAACCCCCCAAAAAGAGGGACCAAAAUAGGUAUUAAACCUCAUUUAAAAACUUAACAGUGUCUUAAAUUUUAUAAAUUAGUAACAAUUAAGUCUUUACCAUUAAGUAGAAACCUAGGUGUAUAUUAGACAUGCUAUCUGGACUAUUUUAUUACAUAGAAAUAGAAUUUAAAUUUUGUUGUGGUAAAUUUGUAUGUAAAAAUGACAACGAGUCAGGUUGAACAUGAAUAGUAUUUACUCGUUACUCAAUCUAUAAUAAUAAAAAUUCAUUUGUUUUAUUAUUUGUUAGAUAAUUAUUUAAAGAAUAUCUAGAAAUAUUUUAAAACUUACGGAUAUUUACAAAUAUUUUAAAUUUUUUAGAAUAAAAUUAAAAAAAAUAUAAUAUAAAUUAAAUUAAAUAUAAAUUAAAAUUUAAUUUUAAUUAAAUUUAACCUAAUAAGUUUUUUAUUUUUAUUUUUUAUAGGUAAAAAUACCUUAUGUCAGGAUUUACAUAGGAGAUGAAUGACAUUGCAUUCAAACACUUCUUUGUAAUAUAAUUAAGAUGGAAAUAAAAAUAACAAUGAAAAAUUGAAUUGGAAGAAAACCAAACAAAAAUCAUAUUGAUCAAAUCUUCAUGAAAAAGUUAUAAAAGAAAAUUUGUACAUCACAUAUAAAGUGCUCAUGAUAUAUAAAAGAAAAUUAUGUUUUAGCAAGCAAUAUUUUCUAUUUUGAUAUUAAAAUGUGUAUUGUUUUCAGAAAAAAAAAAAGUGUAGACCUUUUAAUGUGAAAAAUGUGAUUUACCUAGCAAGUUAAGAUAUGAUUCUGAGAAUUAAUAGUCAAGUUUGUUGAAGACAGAGGGAAAAUUAAUUUGCUAAAAAAAAAUUCAACACACUAGUAAAAAAAGAUAAAAUGAAAUUAUGAGUAUAUAAAUGAAUAUGAGAAUUGAUACUAAAAAUAUUAUCAUAAUGGACUUGGGUUAAAACAUUAAUGUCGUACCUCAAAUAUAACACAUACUUUUAUUUUAUCAACUUGAAAUUUUGUGAAUAUUUGACUCAAUCCAAAUUUAUAUUUUAAUAUUUAUAAAUUUAGUAAUGUAUUUAUUAAUAACUUGUAUAAAUUUAUUAAUACAAUAUUAUUAUGUUAAAAAUUUAAUAAUAAGUUGUAUAAAAUUAUUAUUAAAGUUAUACAUAUAUCUUUUUAGUUAAAUAUUUACUAUAUUUUCGUUAUUUAUUCAAAAAAAAAAAUACCUUUUUUAAGAAAGAUAAUUUAAUUAUUUUUUUUUAAAUUUAACCGAAUUAACUUACAAUUCAAAUAAUCUAAUUAAUUCGAUAAAUUAAAUGGUUAUAUAUAAAUUUUAAAAUAUUAAAUUUGAAUUAUAAUGUAGUCGAAUUCCAUCAAUCCGAGUUGACAGUCUCUCAUAGAUGUUUUUCUUGUUGGAAUGUCAUCACCCGUUUACAUUUACUAAUUAUACAUUUACUAUUGCUCUAGAACUUUGUAAUAAUACUAUGUCUUGUAAUCAUCAACUCUGAUUUAUUAAAUAUAAAUUUUUCUUGUGAUGUGUAUAUAUUUAUUAAAAAUCCUAUAAUUAACAUCGUAUAUGAGAAGAAUAAUACGAACAAGAGAUUUAUGAAUAAAAUACUUAAAUUUUCAAGAAAAGUUUUGCAAUAUAUUAUGAAGAAUCCAAUUGUGAUGAAUCGAACAAAAAGAAAAUCUGAAUUUCACGUUUAUAAGAAAAUUGUAUAAUAUAAAAAAACUAUAAAUUUAUUAAUUUAAAAUUUUACACAAAAAAAUAAUAUUAUAAUUUUUAUAUGAAUUAAUGAUAAGAAAAGGAUAAGAAAUGUGAAAUACUAUGUUUUAAGAUCAUUCCUCGACCUGUGCAAAUACAAGAAACUGUUUUUAAUAAAUUAAUGAAUUAUUCUGGAUUAUAAAAAUUCAGUGAAGAAUUAAAAAAAAAAAAAUCAUUGACCAGGUUCACACGACUAAGAAUGUGUGUAACCAUCAUUCGUGUGCGCAAACAAACUUUACUAAGAUCAAAAUUCUAUCUAUUAUGAAAAGUAGUUAAUAACUUUUCUCCGUCACUUUCAAAAUAAGUUACUAUAAUAUAUAUUAAUCACAAUUCGAAUUCAAACUUCAAACAAGUAUACCUAUUUGAUUUUUGUUUUUAUAUGCAGUUUACUUUUUGAUUUUACAAAUUUAUUCAAUUUUCAUUCCAAUGUCAUACAUUUUUGUACUGCAUCACAUCUAAAAUAAAAAAAUUACAAAGAAUUAAAAACUAAAGGAUCAAAAUUUAGUUAAGAAUUAUUCAAUAACUAAAAUUGUGAGUGAGAAAAUAGGCAACUUCGGAGGCAAACCAGGUUAAAUUAGUGGUGGAGUGGAAAGUUGAAAACAAAAAUAGACUGAGGGCAGGCAAAAAGCACCAGCUUGGUGUAAUAAUUGAUCUAUAUUUUCUAUCCCUCAAAUGAUUUUACAGAACUUGUAAGAUCAUCAUCAUCAUCAUCAUGAUCCAAAAGAAUUGAGGACCCCAAAAAGGGUACGAAAAGAGAACAAGAAAACCAAUAAUAUUAUAAACUGAGAAUAAAAAAGGCCAUUUUAUACAGGGCGAUGUUUAACUAACCAAGCUCCAGAGUUAUAUACAAUAUUCGAGAUGGUAUAUGGCUUCACUUCAAAACUUGUUUUCUCUGUCCUUCUAAUGGAAUCAAAGAUCAGAACCUAUGUCUCUUUUGUCAUCUGAUGUCACAGCACUGAGGCCUUGUCUGCCUUUGCAGUUUAUCCCACAGACACAUCAUCUGCCUAGGCGAUUGGUAAUGGGCUGUGUAAUACUCUUCUAUGCAACCAAAUUGGCAGAAGUUCAAGCUAUGAGAAUACUGUACAGUUUUUGACCGGUUAAAUUGCUCUACCCACAUUCCCAUACUCACAUCUUCCAUCUUAAACAACUGCAUAAAGACCAAAUCACACAUUCAGCCAGAGUUUCAAAUCAAAGGAAGAACACAGAAAAAUGCGCAAUAUAAAUAAUGUUUACUAACCCUUAGUUUAUGCAUUUCAAAUUCAGAUACAAUAUAUCGUGCAAUAUCUGAUGACAAAAUAUAACCCGGGCCAUUAGCAUAGGGUGGGUAAUCCUCUUCUGGCCAUUCCUGAAAAAAAAAAAACCAUCAAUAUUUUAACACAGUUCAUAAAUUCACACAGCCGACAGAGGGUGCAACUGCAAUUUGGAACUAUGAAAACAGGGUAACUUCAGGCUUUCUUUGGAUUAAAAUAGACAUUACUAAAAUAAGCAUUAUUUCAAGAGUAUUCUCAUUCAGAAUUUAACGUUUGAACAAAAGCAUUGCGAUGGAUGCUGAUUACUUACUUCAUAUGUCACUGCCCAUUUCCCAUAUCGCAAGGGUUUAUGAUAGUAAUUUAUGUUACCGAUAUAAAAACUGGUAUCAUCUGGAACCUUCCUUGCUUCACGAAUAACAGCAUCCACUCUAACAAAAGUAUCAUCAUCCCCUUUCAUGAUAUACUUAGCAGAAACCGUAUGAACCUGUGAACAAUAAACCACAUCUUAUAUUCCAUAAAAAAAUCUUAAAUAUCACUCGAAAAUUGGUACUUCAUAGCAUGAUUAUAGUUAAUCGAUAACUCACCCCAUAUUCACAUAUGGCCACUGUUUUCAAGACAACAAGAUCAUAGUUAUCUAAGUAGGGCACUAUAACAAUAUCACCAAAAAAUUCUGCUUCCUUCUUCAACUCUACAUUAAUUUCCUGUCUUGCAUGCUGCCAAGAUUUCAAUAAAAUAGUAAGAAACGCCAGCUGAACAUCAGAAACGAAAUAACAACUGCCAAAACAAAAACCAACCAGUGCAACAAAGAAUCGAGCAACCACUGCUCCAGAUUUGACAAGCCUAUGCUGCAUCCAUGACUUCCUCACAGCCAUCCGCUCAGAAAAAUGGUUUCCGGCUGAGAGGAUACCAACGAACAAUUCUACGCCAGAGUUGGGAAUUGACUGGGCACGCCACCUGGUGGAAAAUUCAAGAUGCCGCUGUGGGGAAAAACUGGGAUGCGAUGAAGGCAAAGACGCUGCAAAUACAGAGUGAACAUCAAUGUCUCCAGCCAAAGAAAGCCCAGUGGCAUCCUCAAGUGUAAAACCCUGCCAAAAUCAAAAUGCAAAAUCGAGUGAUCAAGCAAAUCAAUCUUCAAGUCAAGGUAGUUAACUUCAAGGGGAUGGAUAUAUCACUUACAGCACGAUAAGGAAAAGAUGCUACAUGUCUCCCAUCAACGGUAACAUGAUACCCCUCCAACCCAGCACUAAUAGUAAGAACAAAAAGCUUCCCCUCAGAAAAUGGGAAUGGCCAGUCAACGUUUACUUUCUUGGUGCGCCCUAUAAGUCUUUUCAACCACCACGUCGACUUAGACUCCUCUAAGUGGUGUUCAUCAUCUCUAAUCCACUUCUCGCACUUCACCAUCCUAUCAACUGCACCCAAUGCAAGCAAUAACUCAAUUUAAUUCAGCCAACCACAACCAGACACAAGCAGCCUCACCACACAAAAUGGAACAUCACAAAUUUCUUUAAGAAAAUUACACUUUCAAUUGGGCAGAAAAUCAGACAUCUAAUGAAUCAUCUUUGGAUGACAUUUGUGGUUGAAUAACGUUAAAAAAAAGAUCAUUACGUUCUAAACCGUUUCUCCAAUCACAAGAAGGAAAAAAAAAAAAAAAUAUUCAGAAAAAAAAAAAUCAAAGCAAAGAUCAAAGAGUACCAUAUAACUGAGAACACAUUAAAAUGACUAGUAAACUUCCACAUCAUAAAAUAGUUCCUAAUGAACCAAUUUCCAAAUUAAUUACGUGAAAUCAAAUUUCUAAACAGGCAAAAAAAGUAUCUGAUUUCAGUUUCGAAACUUACCGGUAUCAUCAUCGGCCUUGGAUUUCCAACCGUCGCACCUGAGAGCGGAACCCCAUUGCAUGCGAUAACAUGUGUUGAGUUCAAUCACAGGUUUCCCACUCCAAUCCCCCUUCAACCUCGGAUUGAAGUGAAAAACCCUAGGAGGCUCUUCACCGUCCACCGUCUUCAGCCCCUGCAACUCCACCACGAACUGUGACACCAUCACCGGUUCAUUCUCCUUCACAACCGCUAUACUCGGCUCGAAAUCCGGCCGUGCCGCCAACGGCUUCCCAACGAUCGUCACGUGUGACCCCAAUGUGAGCCCACAAGGCAGCGGCACGACGCCCAAUGCGUCCUUACCUGACAGAGAAACCGAACCGGGACAAGAACUGGACCGGUUCUCGGGCUUCGACACAACGGUCCGCAAAUUUCCAGAUUCAAGGUCCGCCCAGAGUCUCCGUCCCAUCUGGCGCGCAUGCUUUACGAGCUUGUAGAGCUCCAAGGACCCGUCGUUGCCAUUGGAUUCGAACACGGCGUCGUUCAGGACCAGCCCCGAAAUCACGCUGCGGCGAGCGAGUUGACUCGGCGAGUCAGCGUUGGAAACCGUUUUGAAAGGACGCGCGGGGGACUCCUUGAGUAGCGAGUCCUCCUCGCUGAGGAGCUUGUGAGUGCGCGUGGCGACGGUGGUUAAGUCGGCUUUGAAAACGAGAGGGAUUUCGAGUGUGACGAGUACGAGGUAGAAGAAAAAGGCAGCAAUUAGAAACUGAAUCGAUCGUUUUCGUGUUAACAUAAACAACGUUUGAAGGUUUCGCUUCAUGUUGCUCUGUUUUGCGAAGAUUCUUCAAACGCUGUUUCUCUCUCCCCUCAGUUAUGGAGAAGAGAACAGAGACGUGAGAGAAGGAGGAGGUGACCGACUUUAUGGAAUAAUAGAAAAAUGCAAAAAAUUAAAUAAGAAACGGCAACGGUUUGAAGUUUUGAAAGGAAAAUUAGGAAAAUAAUAAUAUUGGAAUUGAAAUUUCGUUGAAGUGGCCGAGCCUGGCCCACUCAGCAUUAAACUUUCUUGCCAACGGAUCCUUUUGCUUUUCUGUCACAUUACACGAAUUUUUCUUUAUAUCAUUAAUUAAUGAACAAAUGGAAAUUAUUUUUAGUGUGUAAAUCAUCUGUUUAAUCAAAAUUUUAAAACUGAAAAUUAGAUUAAAAAAUCCUAAACACGGAGUAUUCUAUAAUUUUAAACUUACUUCAACAUUAAUUAAUAACUAUUAAGAUAUCAGAAUAAUUACAUCGACUACUUUCAGUUAUAUUUCUAAAAUACUAUUCAGUUACAAUAAUAUGAUUAUAUAUCAUUGACUUAGAACUGAAAGUUACACUUAAGUUGGAAUAAGUUAAAUGAAUUAAUUUCAAUUUUAUCCUUUUAUUUUACUUUAAUUAAUAACUUAAACUAAUCAAUCCUGUGUGUAUAUUAAUCCUCUCUCUCUACAUGUAUUCCAAUUUAUUGUAAUUAUUUCUUCUUUAUAUUAACAUAUUAAAAACAAAGAUAUAAGAUAAAAAAAAAAGUAAAAUAACUUUUACAUUUCAUGAAAUUAUACAUCUAUUAUUCUUCAUUGACUUUUCUUAAGACAAUUAUUAUGUUUAAAAUAUUGCAAUNNNNNNNNNNNNNNNNNNNNNNNNNNNNNNNNNNNNNNNNNNNNNNNNNNNNNNNNNNNNNNNNNNNNNNNNNNNNNNNNNNNNNNNNNNNNNNNNNNNNNNNNNNNNNNNNNNNNNNNNNNNNNNNNNNNNNNNNNNNNNNNNNNNNNNNNNNNNNNNNNNNNNNNNNNNNNNNNNNNNNNNNNNNNNNNNNNNNNNNNNNNNNNNNNNNNNNNNNNNNNNNNNNNNNNNNNNNNNNNNNNNNNNNNNNNNNNNNNNNNNNNNNNNNNNNNNNNNNNNNNNNNNNNNNNNNNNNNNNNNNNNNNNNNNNNNNNNNNNNNNNNNNNNNNNNNNNNNNNNNNNNNNNNNNNNNNNNNNNNNNNNNNNNNNNNNNNNNNNNNNNNNNUUCUUCAUUGACUUUUCUUAAGACAAUUAUUAUGUUUAAAAUAUUGCAAUUUUAAAUAUAAUUAAGUGUAAAUAUUAAUUUGAAAUAUAUAUUCAAAAUAAUGAAAUUUGUAUUAUACAUUAUUUAAAUAAUUUAUAAUUUAAUAUUAUCUUUUAAGAAUUAAUUAGUUUUUAGAAAUAUAUUUUUCUGGUUAAUAUUUAAUGGAGUAUUGGGAUAAUUGAUUAUUACUUUAUUUAGAUCUUCCGUUAGUAUAAACAUAAAGUGAAAAAUAAUUUAUUUAGAUAGAGAUUCAAAAGUUGUUAGAAAGAUAUUUCACAAUUGAAAAUAAUUUGCAAAAGGAAAUAUGUAUAUUAAUUAAAAUAAAUUUUUAUUAUUAUUGUUAUAUUGUCAUAUGAUUAUUAUUCCAAUAACGUGAUGAAAAAUAAGAGAUAAUUUUUUCCAAUAUCUGUUACAUAAUAAUAAAGAUAAAUAGUUAAAAAAUUGUUUUUAGUAUAAUAAAAGAAUCACAUAUCUAAUAUUUUUCUAUUUCAUUUAAUAAAUUUUAUUAAUAAUUAUGGUAAUUGAAUUUUUUAUCAUAAUUAUACGAGUUUAUUAAAAAGAAAUUAAUGUUAAUAACUAACAUAUAAGAAUUUUUCUUUUUCUUUUGUUAUGAAUGAAAUAUAUAUUUUUAAAACAUAUUAUUUUUUUAGAAACCAUUUUUCUAUAGUUCUCUAUAGUAUUGAUUUUUUCGACGAGUCUUUUAAUUUGGACCGAUUAGUUUCUUCAUUCAUAUAAGUUGAGUUUCAACUCCUUUUCUUGGUCUUUUCUUAUUAUCUGUUGAAUGUGAGUCUUCUUUCACUUGCAUUCGUCUUUCUAGUCAUCUAUGUGAGUAUUUUCUUAUUAGUGAUUUUAAUAGUUGUCCUUAUCGUGUUUAUAUUGUUCCUAGAUUCUAUGAGCAGGAAGGGAUUUGGGAUUCUUUAAAGCAAGCUCACAUGUCCCUCAAGUAAGGGAAGUUAAUUGCACUACUUUUAAAUUAUAGAUACUUUGAAAUUUUUGCAUACAUGAUUGUAUGGUGGUGAAUUGACUGAUGAUUGAUGUGUUGGUAUGUAUGAUAUGUUGAAAUUGUGGUUUGAAUGGUUGAUCCUUGAAUCUUACUCGUUUGGACUUGGUUUUGUGAGUUUACGAGAUUUAUAAUCUGGACAAUUGGUCAAGUGAUACAAGUUUGCAUGUUUAAAGUUGUUUUGGAACUAAUUCACUAAGAAAGGAAUACCAUUUUGAUCAAUUGAAUAAGUAUAAGUUCCCUCAAAAAUACAAAAUACAAGAAUUGAUAGUUGGUAUAACACCGAGAGGUGCUAGGGUGUCACUCAGUGCCCAAUUUUAUGAAUAGUUUAGCAUUGAGCGGUACUAAGGUAUCACUGAGUGUCAUUCUUGUAUUGCAGGUCUUGAGCAUUUUCACUCUAAGAAACUAAGCGUUAGAAAGUGUCACUGAGCGCACUAUUUUGCGAGAAGAGUGACGUUGAGUGUCAUGACUAACAUUGGGUACCACUUUUUGUGAGAGGUCUGGCGUUAGACACCACCUAUGAGCGUCAUUAUGUAUGUUUGAAUUUAUUUUCUUUUUUAACUAUUUGAGAUAGAUUUAUAAUGGAGUUUAUGUAUGUUUAUGAGUAUUAUGAUGACUUAUUAAGAUGAUGAUAAUUUUUUGGAUAUGCAUGGUGAUGAUGUUGAAAGAAUUUCAAGGAGAAUUAUUUGUGAUGAUAAUAUUAAUGUAUGCAUUGACAUAUGUGAAUCAGAAAGGAGGUAUCCUGAACUCUAAUAACUAUUCAGACUCAAAUAUAAUAGAAUGAAUUAUGUGGUAAUAAUCGUAGAACGUUCUAGUAUAUGGAAAAUGUUUGGUCCGAGGUGCGAAAGGGAACUACCUUUGUAGUGGUAGGGUAAUAACUCAUUGUUUAUGACUCUGCAAAGUAUAAAUACUAUUGCAAGUGCACACUUAUGGGUAGAGAUGACAACGGGUCAGAUCGAGUACAAAUAGUGUCUACCCGCUACUCGACCCGCAACAAAGCUACCCACUCGCUACUUAUAUGAAUAUUCGUUUAAAAAUUCUCGCAAGUAUUUUAAAACUUGUAAGUACCCCAUGGAUACACAUAAAUAUAUUUAAAAAAUAUAUUUCAUAAAUUUUAGAAAUAAAAUUUAAAAUAAAAUUACAAAAAUAUAUAUAAAAUAUAAUAUAAAUUAAUUUUCAUUUGAAUUAAAUUUAACCAAAUAAAAUAUAAAUUAAUUUUAAUUCAAUUUAAAUUAAUAAACCAUAAAUUAAAUUUUAAUUUUAAUUUUUUACAGAUAAUGAAUUCCUACAAGUACGGAUAGUAUAAUAUCCGCACUCGACCCAUUUAUAAGCAGAUAUUAAAAUACUCACUACACGUGAGUAUCAACUAAUCAUUGUGGAUUUUAUCUGUGGAUACUCGCGAACACGAGUAUUUUUGUCAUCCUUACCUAGGGGGAAGCCCUAUGUUAAAGACAUAUAUCCGAAUAAUUGAGUCUCUUUUUAUACAUUAGUUUAUCCUUUCUUUUAUGUUGUUUUGUAUCUAUGUUUCUUAACUUAUGAUCACCUUAGCCGUGUGAGUAAAUGAAUGAUAAAUGUUAAUGCACCUUUGAUGGAAGGUGGUGAUGAUAUGAAGUAAUGUUUUUUCGAUUUGUAAUAAUUUUGAUAUAUAUAUUUUAUUCUUAUAAUAAUUUACUUUUUGAAUAUAAGUGUAUUAGUUCUAUAUACAUAUUGAGAUAAUAUCUUUUAUUUUAUUAAAUAAUGUCUUAUUUUAUUAGUUACAAACUGUUAAAAAAAUUUAAUAUACUUAGAUGAAAAACGUUAUAUUAAUUUUUAAGUUUAGAAAUAAAAUGUAAAAAGUCUCAUGAACAAGGACCAAUUUCACGUCAAAAUUAAUGAAAGAAAAGAAAAGCUAAUACAUUAAAUUUAGUUUUAGUAAAUAAAUAUAAUAAUUGUUAAAAAUCAAACACAUUUUAUUACUUCAAUAACAAUGUUUAAAAAAUUUAAUAGAAAUAAAAAAUUUGUUCUAAUAUUUUUAUUUUUAUUUUCUCAUUAUAAAAUAAUUUUUUUUCUUCUAAUAAAUAAUUUUUUUCUUAUUAUAUUAAAAACAAAAUAUUUAAAUAUUUGUCAUAUUAAACCACUUAUUUACUUUAUUAAUAAUAAAGAGGAGAGAGAAGACAAUAAAGAAUACAAUAAAUGUAGUACACAUAUUUCAAGAGAUAGAAUACUUUUUCUAUAUAUUAAUGUGCACUUAUGACUCUUUAAUUCGAGUUCAUAAUCUAAAUUAGAAUAAAAGAUUGAUAGUAAGAGAAAUUCAUUUCAAUUAUUUAAAUGGACUCCAACUCUUUAUUAUAACAUCUAUAUUCUUAUAUAAAAUUACACAUAAUUUCAUAACUUAUAUUAAUUUGAUAACUUUACUAUUUACUAAAUGUCAAUUUAUUUUUUAUUAAAAAAAUAAGUAAUUGAAUACUUUUUAUUUUUAAAUAAAUAAAUGAUUUCUAUUUUUGAAAAUAAUCAUCACAUAAUUUGUUAAUAUUAUUUUUACAAAAUUAUACAUAUAUUUUAAAUUGUAUUAUUCUCAUGUUCCUUUUAUAUUUUAUCAGUAUUAUAGUUUAUUCCUUUAGUUCAUCUUUUAAUUUGAAAGUUUUAAUCUAAACAAAUAAAUAAUUAUUUAUUAACUAAAUAUAAUAAGUAAUUAUUCAAGUUUAUCUCAAAAUAAUUAAAUAUAUUGUAAUAAUCCAUAAGAAUAAUCUUUUUAUAAGUGAUAGUAAGACUUAUAUUAUAAGACACAAAUAUUUUAAUGUUAAAAGUUGAAAAAUAUAAGUAGAAGUUUUAUAAGAUAAGUUUUAUUAUUUCAAGUCACAUAUUCUUUUUAAAAACAAUUUUUUUAGAGUUCUUUCUUAUUUUUAGGUAUUUUACCUAUUGAAUCAUCUAUUUGAAGAUCAGAGGGUGCAAAGUGAUCUGCAAAAUCAUAUAGUCUAGUUGAACAAUUUUUACAAAAGAAUAUGUUAGUUUCUAUUCUUUCUUUCUAGUUUUCACAUUUUUCAAUCAUGUGAGUGGUUUUCCUUUGCAUGCAUCAUCUAAGCUUUCUGUAAGAACCCAUUGCGAUUGGGUAUAAACAUCCACCUUAUUUUUUAAAUUGUAGUAGGGUUGCUAACUCAAUGGUAGAGUACUCGGCUUUUAAGAACAACUCUAUUUUUUACAAAUUUCUAUGAAGCAAUCGAUUCGUCGAUACUAUCGGUAGAACUUGUAAAACCACGACUGGUCCAGAAAGGAAUGACUGGAAAAAGUAGCAUGUCGUAUCAAUGAAGAAUUCUAAAAAUAUUUCAUUCUUAUAGGAUCCAACUCAAAUUUUUGUUUGAAUUUUUGGCUCGUAACAAACAAAAUUCAGUUGGGUUUGAUUAAUAAAGGGAUAGAACUUGGUGGUUCUAAUUCUAAUAGGAAAACCAAAAGCAUCGAGCUUUUGUUUUUUUUUUUAUUUGGAUCAUUACCCCAUCUAAUUGUACGUUAAAAAUAGGUUAGUGCUUGAUGUGGGAAAAGC